GCUUGUAACCCAAGCGGGGGCAUGAGAGUGAUGGAACGUUGGUCCGACUCAGAGGGUAGGGUUGAGAGCGCUAUUUACUGGCCUGCCCACUCCAAGCGGAGAGCUGGGCCGCGUAAUCUUGGCGAAGGCUGAUGUUUCACGGGACUACAGGCUGGUGCGCUCCUGGCCCAUCAUUGCCCAAUGGGCGGCCCUAAUUGGACCAUCACUCUUU
Long non-coding RNA from Coffea eugenioides, 211 nucleotides. RefSeq lists it as uncharacterized. NCBI's taxonomy places the organism in Eukaryota, Viridiplantae, Streptophyta, Magnoliopsida, Gentianales, Rubiaceae. The record is from RefSeq and is a predicted model, not a curated record. The transcript is spliced from 2 exons.